CCUACGGGUGGCAGCAGUGGGGAAUCUUGCACAAUGGGCGAAAGCCUGAUGCAGCGACGCCGCGUGGAGGACGAAGGCCUUCGGGUUGUAAACUUCUUUUGUAGGGGAAAAUAAUGAUGGUACCCUAUGAAUAAGCCACGGCUAACUCUGUGCCAGCAGCCGCGGUAAGACAGAGGUGGCGAGCAUUGUUCGGAAUUACUGGGCUUAAAGGGCGCGUAGGCGGUGGUGCAAGUCUGGGGUGGAAUUCUAUGGCUUAACUAUAGGACUGCCCUGGAAAGUGCAUUACUUGAGUGGGUGAGGGGAAGGCGAAAUUCCGGGUGUAGCGGUAAAAUGCGUAGAUAUCAGGAGGAAGGCCUGUGGUGAAGACGGCCU
This 372-nucleotide ribosomal RNA is filed under the name uncultured Nitrospirales bacterium. RNAcentral's name for it is "partial 16S ribosomal RNA". It matches the Rfam family "Bacterial small subunit ribosomal RNA", at positions 338 to 727 of the family's 1533-position model. The record is from RNAcentral. Lineage: Bacteria; Pseudomonadati; Nitrospirota; Nitrospiria; Nitrospirales.